GAGAACACACACAAUGUCUAUGUGGCCGAAAGUAUGUGGACACCCGACCUUUACACUGUGAUUGUUGACACGAACACACCAAGCUUCCUCCGUCUUUUCUCUUUUUCUGAGCCCGGUUACCCAGCUCCUGUUCUGGCAUGACACCAGCUCCUUAAUUAACGUGGAUUCAUGCGGACUAAUUAAUAAUUAGCUUCUCGUUGUCCAACCCUUCAUGUUUUCUUUAAAUGUUACGUAACAUCCGGACACGGAAACAAAGUCUUUCUGCCUCUUCACUUUCUUAUUUCCACUCCAGCACAUUUAUAUUGUGCUUUUUUUACUCCACAACAGUUGGUUGACGGCUUUAAGUAUUUAGUUAAUUAAUUAAUCUACUCAGCAGGGCCUAUAGUAACUGCUGUCUACAUACUUUUGGCCACAUAGUACAAACAUACAGCUCUGUUCCUGAAGCUGACGCUCAUGUUUCAGAUAUUAAAGACGACUUUUUGUUCUCAUCACCUCAUUCCUGUACACAGCCUGCCUGAAGCUCCUUUGGAAGGAGAAGCGAGUUAACGGCAAUUGAAAUGCCACAACUGUCGGCCCUCGUUCCCUCCGAGGAGAGGCCGGAGAGCGUUUUCUAACACGGUUAAGAGCUCCCUCUGGAUGAGACGACAGCAGAGUCACAAAGGUCAGACUGUGCACGUCAGAGAUUAACCAGAGCCGGGCAUCGACGGGGCAUCUGGACUCAGGCCACAGCUGCUUUCCGACAAAAGAAGAAAAUACAGCCUCGACUCUGCUGCUGCUGCUGCUGCAGGGUUUAAACUCUGCUUUCUGAAAGCUGCACGAGGACACGAAGAAGAAGA
Molecule: long non-coding RNA, 836 nt
Organism: Larimichthys crocea (large yellow croaker)
Lineage: Eukaryota; Metazoa; Chordata; Actinopteri; Sciaenidae
Exons: 3
Source: RefSeq, a predicted model, not a curated record